AUUGAACGCUGGCGGCAGGCCUAACACAUGCAAGUCGAACGAGUGGCGGACGGGUGAGUAAUGUCUGGGAAACUGCCUGAUGGACGGGGAUAACUACUGGAAACGGUAGCUAAUACCGCAUAACAUAAGAUGGGCCAAGAUGGGAUUAGCUGGAUGGGGGGGUAAAGGCGCACCAAGGCGACGAUCCCUAGCUGGUCUGAGAGGAUGACCAGCCACACGGUACCUUAGACACGCGCCAGACUCCUACGGGAGGCAGCAGUGGGGAAUAUGGCACAGUGGGCGCAAGCCUGAUGCAGCCAUGCCGCGUGUAUGAAGAAGGCCUUCGGGUUGUAAAGUACUUUCAGCGGGGAGGCGUUACCCGCAGAAGAAGCACCGGCUAACUCCGUGCCAGCCGCCGCGGUAAUUC
RNAcentral lists this ribosomal RNA (406 nucleotides) under uncultured bacterium. Its description in RNAcentral is "partial 16S ribosomal RNA". It matches the Rfam family "Bacterial small subunit ribosomal RNA", at positions 29 to 526 of the family's 1533-position model. The record is from RNAcentral.